AGCGAACGCUGGCGGCAGGCCUAACACAUGCAAGUCGAGCGCCGUAGCAAUACGGAGCGGCAGACGGGUGAGUAACGCGUGGGAACGUGCCCUUCGGUUCGGAAUAACUCAGGGAAACUUGAGCUAAUACCGGAUACGUCCGAAAGGAGAAAGAUUUAUCGCCGAAGGAUCGGCCCGCGUAAGAUUAGCUAGUUGGUGAGGUAACGGCUCACCAAGGCUCUGAUCUUUAGCUGGUCUGAGAGGACGAUCAGCCACACUGGGACUGAGACACGGCCCA
Molecule: ribosomal RNA, 277 nt
Filed under: uncultured bacterium
Lineage: Bacteria
Description: partial 16S ribosomal RNA
Rfam family: Bacterial small subunit ribosomal RNA
Source: RNAcentral